This 709-nucleotide small RNA is filed under the name Curvularia hominis. RNAcentral describes it as "eukaryotic LSU rRNA". The stretch from base 342 to 495 matches the Rfam family "5.8S ribosomal RNA". The record is from RNAcentral. Lineage: Eukaryota; Fungi; Ascomycota; Dothideomycetes; Pleosporales; Pleosporaceae.
UACCGAUUGAAUGGCUCAGUGAGGCGUUCGGACUGGCUCGGGGAGGUUGGCAACGACCACCCCAAGCCGGAAAGUUCGUCAAACUCGGUCAUUUAGAGGAAGUAAAAGUCGUAACAAGGUCUCCGUAGGUGAACCUGCGGAGGGAUCAUUACACAAUAAAAUAUGAAGGCUGUACGCGGCUGUGCUCUCGGGCCAGUUUUGCGGAGGCUGAAUUAUUUAUUACCCUUGUCUUUUGCGCACUUGUUGUUUCCUGGGCGGGUUCGCCCGCCACCAGGACCACAUCAUAAACCUUUUUUAUGCAGUUGCAAUCAGCGUCAGUAUAACAAAUGUAAAUCAUUUACAACUUUCAACAACGGAUCUCUUGGUUCUGGCAUCGAUGAAGAACGCAGCGAAAUGCGAUACGUAGUGUGAAUUGCAGAAUUCAGUGAAUCAUCGAAUCUUUGAACGCACAUUGCGCCCUUUGGUAUUCCAAAGGGCAUGCCUGUUCGAGCGUCAUUUGUACCCUCAAGCUUUGCUUGGUGUUGGGCGUUUUUUGUCUUUGGUUGCCAAAGACUCGCCUUAAAAGGAUUGGCAGCCGGCCUACUGGUUUCGCAGCGCAGCACAUUUUUGCGCUUGCAAUCAGCAAAAGAGGACGGCAAUCCAUCAAGACUCCUUCUCACGUUUGACCUCGGAUCAGGUAGGGAUACCCGCUGAACUUAAGCAUAUCAUA